RNAcentral lists this ribosomal RNA (414 nucleotides) under uncultured prokaryote. RNAcentral describes it as "bacterial SSU rRNA". It matches the Rfam family "Bacterial small subunit ribosomal RNA", at positions 505 to 918 of the family's 1533-position model. The record is from RNAcentral.
GUGUCAGCAGCCGCGGUAACACGUAUGGGGCGAGCGUUGUUCGGAAUUACUGGGCGUAAAGGGCGUGUAGGCGGUUCGAAAAGCCUGGCGUGAAAGUCAUCGGCCCAACCGAUGGACGGCGCUGGGAACUGCCGGACUGGAGUCAUGGAGGGGGAGCUGGAAUUCCAGGUGUAGGGGUGAAAUCUGUAGAGAUCUGGAAGAACACCGGUGGCGAAGGCGAGCUCCUGGCCAAUGACUGACGCUGAGGCGCGAAAGCGUGGGGAGCAAACAGGAUUAGAUACCCUGGUAGUCCACGCUGUAAACGAUGUGCACUAGGUGUUGGUGUCAUACAGGCAUCGGUGCCGUAGCUAAGGCGUUAAGUGCACCGCCUGGGGAGUAUGCUCGCAAGGGUGAAACUCAAAGGAAUUGACGGGG